AUGGCAAUGAUACGUAGCCGACCUUGAGGAGGGUAAUCGGCCACAUUGGGACUGAGACACGGCCCAAACUCCUACGGGAGGCAGCAGUAGGGAAUCUUCCACAAUGGACGAAAGUCUGAUGGAGCAACGCCGCGUGAGUGAAGAAGGGUUUCGGCUCGUAAAACUCUGUUGUUAAAGAAGAACAUAUCUGAGAGUAACUGUUCAGGUAUUGACGGUAUUUAACCAGAAAGCCACGGCUAACUACGUGCCAGCAGCCGCGGUAAUACGUAGGUGGCAAGCGUUGUCCGGAUUUAUUGGGCGUAAAGCGAGCGCAGGCGGUUUUUUAAGUCUGAUGUGAAAGCCUUCGGCUCAACCGAAGAAGUGCAUCGGAAACUGGGAAACUUGAGUGCAGAAGAGGACAGUGGAACUCCAUGUGUAGCGGUGAAAUGCGUAGAUAUAUGGAAGAACACCAGUGGCGAAGGCGGCUGUCUGGUCUGUAACUGACGCUGAGGCUCGAAAGUAUGGGUAGCAAACAGGAUUAGAUACCCUGGUAGUCCAUACCGUAAACGAUGAAUGCUAAGUGUUGGAGGGUUUCCGCCCUUCAGUGCUGCAGCUAACGCAUUAAGCAUUCCGCCUGGGGAGUACGGCCGCAAGGCUGAAACUCAAAGGAAUUGACGGGGGCCCGCACAAGCGGUGGAGCAUGUGGUUUAAUUCGAAGCUACGCGAAGAACCUUACCAGGUCUUGACAUACUAUGCAAAUCUAAGAGAUUAGACGUUCCCUUUCGGGGACAUGGAUACAGGUGGUGCAUGGUUGUCGUCAGCUCGUGUCGUGAGAUGUUGGGUUAAGUCCCGCAACGAGCGCAACCCUUAUUAUCAGUUGCCAGCAUUAAGUUGGGCACCUCUGGUGAGACUGCCGGUGACAAACCGGAGAAAGGUGGGGAUGACGUCAAAUCCAUCA
This 937-nucleotide ribosomal RNA is filed under the name Lactiplantibacillus plantarum. RNAcentral's name for it is "bacterial SSU rRNA". It matches the Rfam family "Bacterial small subunit ribosomal RNA", at positions 270 to 1195 of the family's 1533-position model. Lineage: Bacteria; Bacillati; Bacillota; Bacilli; Lactobacillales; Lactobacillaceae. The record is from RNAcentral.